UUUGUGACAUACCUAUAACUGUUGCUUCGGCGGGUAGGGUCUCCGUGACCCUCCCGGCCUCCCGCCCCCGGGCGGGUCGGCGCCCGCCGGAGGAUAACCAAACUCUGAUUUAACGACGUUUCUUCUGAGUGGUACAAGCAAAUAAUCAAAACUUUUAACAACGGAUCUCUUGGUUCUGGCAUCGAUGAAGAACGCAGCGAAAUGCGAUAAGUAAUGUGAAUUGCAGAAUUCAGUGAAUCAUCGAAUCUUUGAACGCACAUUGCGCCCGCCAGCAUUCUGGCGGGCAUGCCUGUUCGAGCGUCAUUUCAACCCUCAAGCUCUGCUUGGUGUUGGGGCCCUACAGCUGAUGUAGGCCCUCAAAGGUAGUGGCGGACCCUCCCGGAGCCUCCUUUGCGUAGUAACUUUACGUCUCGCACUGGGAUCCGGAGGGACUCUUGCCGUAAAACCCCCAAUUUUCCAAAGGUUGACCUCGGAUCAGGUAGGAAUACCCGCUGAACUUAAGCAUAUCAAUAAGCGGAGGA
This 521-nucleotide ribosomal RNA is filed under the name fungal sp. TA282. RNAcentral describes it as "eukaryotic LSU rRNA". The stretch from base 150 to 303 matches the Rfam family "5.8S ribosomal RNA". The record is from RNAcentral. Lineage: Eukaryota; Fungi.